AACACGUGACUAACCUACCCCGGUGUGGGGGAUAACGGGUCGAAAGACUCGCUAAUCCCGCAUACGAUUCACUUCGGUGAAGGAAAGCCGUAAGGCGCACUGGGCGGGGGUCGCGUCCCAUUAGAUGGUUGGUGUGGUAAUGGCGCACCAAGUCGAUGAUGGGUCUCUGGUCUGAGAGGACGACCAGACAGAUUGGGACUGAGACACGGCCCAAACUCCUACGGGGGGCAGCAGCAAGGAAUUUUCGGCAAUGGGCGCAAGCCUGACCGAGCAACGCCGCGUGGAGGAUGACGGCUCUUGGGUUGUAAACUCCUUUUGGGGGGGACGAUAAUGACGGUACCCUCCGAAUCAGGCCCGGCUAACUACGUGCCAGCAGCCGCGGUAAUACGUAGGGGCCAAGCGUUGUCCGGAAUUACUGGGCGUAAAGCGUGGGUAGGUGGUCGGUGAUGUGCCGCGUGAAAGCGCCGGAGUAAUGCCGGCGAGGUCGCGGUAGACACACGGACUCGAGGCUCGCAGAGGAACGUGGAAUUCCCGGUGUAGUGGUGAAAUGCGUAGAUAUCGGGAGGAACACCAGUGGCGCAAGCGGCGUUCUGGGCGAGACCUGACACUGAGCCACGACGGCGUGGGGAGCAAACAGGAUUAGAUACCCUGGUAGUCCACGCAGUAAACGAUGCAUACCAGGU
Molecule: ribosomal RNA, 683 nt
Filed under: uncultured bacterium
Lineage: Bacteria
Description: bacterial SSU rRNA
Rfam family: Bacterial small subunit ribosomal RNA
Source: RNAcentral